GAGGUUAUGGCUCAGUGGUAGAGCGCUCACCUAGCAUGUGGGAGGCAUUGGGUUCAAUCCUUAGCACCA
RNAcentral lists this transfer RNA (69 nucleotides) under Marmota monax (woodchuck). RNAcentral describes it as "tRNA.Ala". It matches the Rfam family "tRNA". From Rfam's summary of the family: Transfer RNA (tRNA) molecules are approximately 80 nucleotides in length. Their secondary structure includes four short double-helical elements and three loops (D, anti-codon, and T loops). The record is from RNAcentral. Lineage: Eukaryota; Metazoa; Chordata; Mammalia; Rodentia; Sciuridae.